CAACCCUCAAGCUCUGCUUGGUGUUGGAGUUGUAUAGCCUUUGUGGCCGUACGCUCCCAAAAUCAGUGGCGGACUCUCCUAGAUUCCGGGCGCAGUAGAGAUGCGACGCCUUGGAGGUCUAGGCGGGCUCUAGCCGUUAAACCCCAACUAUAACAAGU
This 158-nucleotide unclassified non-coding RNA is filed under the name uncultured Sordariales. Its description in RNAcentral is "sequence contains ITS2". The record is from RNAcentral. Lineage: Eukaryota; Fungi; Ascomycota; Sordariomycetes; Sordariales.